RNAcentral lists this ribosomal RNA (440 nucleotides) under uncultured bacterium. RNAcentral's name for it is "partial 16S ribosomal RNA". It matches the Rfam family "Bacterial small subunit ribosomal RNA", at positions 338 to 795 of the family's 1533-position model. The record is from RNAcentral.
CCUACGGGAGGCAGCAGUGGGGGAUAUUGCACAAUGGGGGAAACUCUGAUGCAGCGACGCCGCGUGUAGGAAGACGGUCCUCUGGAUUGUAAACUACUGUCCCCAGGGACGAAGAUGACGGUACCUGGGGAGGAAGCUCCGGCUAACUACGUGCCAGCAGCCGCGGUAAUACGUAGGGAGCGAGCGUUGUCCGGAAUUACUGGGUGUAAAGGGAGCGUAGGCGGGGAUGCAAGUUGGGUGUUAAAUCUACCGGCUCAACUGGUAGUCGCACUCAAAACUGCAGCUCUUGAGUGAAGUAGAGGCAGGCGGAAUUCCUAGGGUAGCGGUGAAAUGCGUAGAUAUUAGGAGGAACACCAGUGGCGAAGGCGGCCUGCUGGGCUUUUACUGACGCUGAGGCUCGAAAGUGUGGGGAGCAAACAGGAUUAGAUACCCUUGUAGUC